Long non-coding RNA from Daktulosphaira vitifoliae (grape phylloxera), 1086 nucleotides. RefSeq lists it as uncharacterized. The transcript has 4 exons. Lineage: Eukaryota; Metazoa; Arthropoda; Insecta; Hemiptera; Phylloxeridae. The record is from RefSeq and is a predicted model, not a curated record.
AAUAGUGAUUAUACUAUUAUAGCAAACGAUAACGACGAGAGUACAACAUGUAAUUAAUUCUAAAAAUAAAUUACCCAAUAUAGUAAUAUACAAAUAUUUUACUGUUACAACGCCGUUAGUCGUUCAAAAUCCAUAAAAAAAUGAGACAUAGUCAAUCACUCUGUAUAAUAUUGCAACUUAACAGUACCCGGACGCACACGAUUGAACGCCUCGUUUAUAAUAUACGUUUUUAAUAUAACACAUUACAAAUGUAUUAUAAUAAUUUUAGUUAUUUAAAAAUUUGCAUUUUUAAUAAAAACAUAGUAUUAAGAAUGUACAAUUAAUUUUCUUCUUUUAAUUAAUUUUAGUAGGGGGUACGAUCGUUGUGUCGUCCAGGCCACUGCAUUACACACUAAUUCAACUUAUUUUAUGAAAUUUAGUAAUUUUUUCAGAUUACCUUUCAAUAAGAACCUACUUAAAAAUACCAAAACGGGAAUGGAUAUGUUUUAUUUGAUUUUAAUUAAGUUAUUUUAUAAUUGUUAUUUAUUUUUUAAAAUUGAUUUUCAUAAUUAUUAUCUAAAAUAAGUAAGUGGCGAGGAAGAAGAAGAAGAAGAUCUAAAAUAAAAUGUCAAAUUCCGGUUAAUUGGAUUAUGUUCUCCCUCCAUUACUGAAGUAGCAAUAAUUUCUGGGACUUCAGAUUUUGUUGAAUUAUUCGAAUGAUACUGUACGAAAUUGGCCAGAUGAUCAAUACUACGAAUAAGAGAAUCUUCAUACAUUUCAACUUUAGAAUGAUUGCCUAAGCAAUAGCUCUACGAAAAUAUUUCAAAACCAUCUCUGAAAAAGAAAUAUUCUAUUAAACACUAUUUAUGAUAUUAAAGCCAAAAAAGGAACAAGCUCAAUGUUUUUGUAAUAAAAAAAAAAAAUUAUUGAAUAAGAUUUAUCCACUUCGCAUAAUAUCAUUGUGAAAACUGAAUAUUAAAUAAUAAUAUAUGGAUUACUUAAAUGAAAACGGUAGACCGUCCAUGAAGUUCAUCUCACUUACUUUGAGGGUUGUUCAUUUAAAGUACAAUGACGAUGAUGUUUGUCAUACAGUAUUUGCGGUUUGCU